Molecule: long non-coding RNA, 1594 nt
Organism: Oreochromis aureus
Lineage: Eukaryota; Metazoa; Chordata; Actinopteri; Cichliformes; Cichlidae
Source: Ensembl
UAGAAGCCUGGUGGGAAUACAGUGACUGUCUGGAGGGUAUCCAACAGCUUCAGCGCCUACAUCAGAUCUUAACUACUUAAAGGUAACUCAUAUCCACUGGAGGAUUAGCACAAUAUCUGCAGAGUACAUCAACUGUAGAUUACAAUCAGUAAAUUUACAUUAUUAACAAAGGGGGGGAGGGGAUGUGUAUAUAUAUGCCGCAGUUAUCUCUACAGAAAACUGUCUGCAGGGCCAGAACUCGUGAUGAGACCCUUGAAGUCGCGGCAUUGGAAAAUCUGGGACACGACAAAAUAAAGUUUUUAAUCACUUCAUCGAUUAAAUCACAGUGAAAACCACAGGUAGAUAAAGAUUAGAGGUUAGCGAAGGAUACACAGGAGAUAUUAGAACAAUGAUAACAAACCCGGCUUUUAAAAUGAUGUUCUUCACACUAAAAUGCUACCACACUGCUACUUCAGAGCCCUCGCCCAUGUCUGAUCUAGUGUUUCACAAACAACUACAACGAAAAGGUGCUGACUCAUCCAGGUGGGAAUCAACGACUGAGGGUUUUUUUUUUUAUUUUUCUUCUUUUUUUAAGGAUAAUAUAAGAACAAUCUGUCUGCUUUCAAAGCUCGGGCUACCUGAGGCUACAGCCGCAUCUUUGACUAAACAAUCACAAGCUAUUUAAUUUGUUAACCAAAUAGUGAUGCCCGCACUGCCUUACAGCUGCCGCUCCGCUGCGGCACAGCACUUCCAGAGUUUCAAAAUCAGUCCCUUACAAAGAUUAUCAAAAGACAGAUGGUGCGGCAUCACUGACUUCCCUGUAAAGUCGGUGUGUUUUGUUUAAGCUUUAAUCGCUACAGCGUGACUUUGUUUUUUCCUCCUUUCUCCAGCUCACAGUGGUUGCAGGUGUCGAGCAGAUACACAGUAUAGUUGCACAGAGCGAAAGCACAUCUCAUUGCUUCCCUCCACAGCAACUCUGGUGAGAAGUGAGGUCUUUGCAAAGCAAGAAACUUUUUUUUUUAUCCCCCUGCUCUAAAUUCUUUUAUUUGGCACAUAUUUCCUCCUCGCUGUGUCGACUGUGCCUCCGUAAUCCCCUUUUCCGUUUUAGCACCCAUGGCUUGGUAAGCCCCCCUUUCAUCCUCCUUUAGCCGGCCCGUACGCUCAAACACAAGAUAUCAUGGAGUCAUUUUGAGCCACGGAGGAAGAGACAGUCUGAAACAAGGGGACAUAACUGGGAUUCAAAGGGUUUCCUCUCUGCUGCGCGUAUGAGUUCAUGUGCGCAACACAAAAUCCCGGAGCCUCUCCGUGCAUUUGAGGGGGAUUUAACCAGAGAGGUCAUUUUUUCUUGGGAAGUUGAGAGGCGAUCCCUCCGCUGCUCUCUAGUCCACCAGUUUGGAGGCUUGUGAUGAGAUCUCUUCAAGAGUUUGAGUGUCUCUGUGUUGGAAAUCAUUCCAAACGUGUUGGCCGGAAUAUGAAGGAACUGAUUAAAGUCUGUCUGUUCCCUUCUCUCCAAUCUAACAUCCCAUGGACACCUCCCCUCACACCCUCCCCAGAUUUAGAGUAGCAGCAUUUGCAUAUUUUAUUCUCUUCCAUUAGCAAAAAAGAAAAAAGGAAA